RNAcentral lists this ribosomal RNA (460 nucleotides) under uncultured bacterium. Its description in RNAcentral is "partial 16S ribosomal RNA". It matches the Rfam family "Bacterial small subunit ribosomal RNA", at positions 338 to 795 of the family's 1533-position model. The record is from RNAcentral.
CCUACGGGAGGCAGCAGUGAGGAAUAUUGGUCAAUGGACGCAAGUCUGAACCAGCCACGCCGCGUGCAGGAUGACGGCUCUAUGAGUUGUAAACUGCCUUUGUACGAGGGUACACCCCGAUACGUGUAUCGGGUUGAAUGUAUCGUACGUAUCAGGAUCGGCUAACUCAGUGCCAGCAGCCGCGGGAAUACGGAGGAUCCGGGCGUUAUCCGGAUUUAGUGGGUUUAAAGGGUUCGUAGGCGGGUUGAUAAGUUAGAGGUGAAAUGUCGGGGCUCAACCCCGAAACUGCAUUUCAUACUGUUGAACUAGAGAGUAGUAGCGGUAGGUGGAAUGUAAGGUGUAGCGGUGAAAUGCUUAGAGAUCAUACAGAACACCGAUUGCGAAGGCAGCUUACUAAACUAUAACUGACGUUGAGGCACGAAAGCGUGGGUAGCAAACAGGAUUAGAUACCCCGGUAGUC